Molecule: ribosomal RNA, 305 nt
Filed under: uncultured bacterium
Lineage: Bacteria
Description: bacterial SSU rRNA
Rfam family: Bacterial small subunit ribosomal RNA
Source: RNAcentral
GGACCCUACGGGGGCAGCAGUGGGGAAUAUUGCGCAAUGGGCGAAAGCCUGACGCAGCGACGCCGCGUGAGGGAUGGAGGUCUUCGGAUCGUAAACCUCUGUCAGCAGGGAAGAACGGUCACUGUGCUAAUCAGCAGUGAAUUGACGGUACCUGCAAAGGAAGCACCGGCUAACUCCGUGCCAGCAGCCGCGGUAAUACGGAGGGUGCGAGCGUUAAUCGGAAUUACUGGGCGUAACGCGCACGUAGGCGGUAUGUCAAGUCAAGGGUGAAAUCCCCGCGCUCAACGUGGGAACUGCCUUUGAAA